AGGGUGAGUAGUACAUGGACCUUCUGACCUUAUGAUGGAGAGCCAUGGAGAUUAGAGAGCUGGUAGAAGAGAUGGGAUCAGAGUAGAUUAAGACUGAAGUAGAGAAGGUGAUUAUAUCUUGGAUGACAGGUGUCUUUUGGUAAAGGAUUUCAUUCUAUCCAGAGAUGCUGGACACAUCCCUAUGUGUUUGCCUCAGUUCUACAAACUCUAGGAAGAAAGAGAACAGUCCUUUUUUGCUCGUAGCUGAAAAAGAAAAAAAAACCCUUCAGAAUCAUCCUAGUCCCCUCACUAUCAACCCCAGUAUUAUUAUUCUAGAAUGCAAAGUUUAAAUUCUUUUGAGAGAAAUUUCAGGAUAAGAAACAUACAACCACUAUGAAUCUGGAAAGUGAACUGUUUGGAGAGGGAGCCAUGAAAGUGCCUGCACAGAUCACAAACUGAAUCAGAAGAUCCAGAGUGGACUUUGGAAUGUGGUGAUUUGAACAGUGUAGUGUUGAAUGCAUUUGUUUCUGUACGUAUACUCUUAUGCCAAAGGGGACGGCAUCCAAUUGGCUUUUUGUCAAUGUGCCUAGCAAUCAUUUGGUUUGUUCUUUUCCCCUUUUGUCCCCAAAUUAUUGUAAUUUAAAAGUUGAUUAUGUUAAAUGAUCAACUGGGGAGACUGGUCUCCCAAUGAUCAUCAUGGGGGAAUGUGUAAUUAGAAAUCAGUUACCCUAAAAACUACAUUUCCCAGAAGCCCACUGCCAUUAUGUACUUCCUGUAGACAGAGGAUAUUAGGCAGAGGUUUGCUGGUCUAGGCCUCUUUACUUCCUGUCAGCCACUGUGGUGGUAAGCAGGAAUUUUGAACAGAAUGAUUAGUCAUGGGCACGUGGCUUUUAUUUUGUUACCUUUUUAUUCCUUUACAUCUAAUGAUCAUUAAUAAAUCUCUUAAAA
RNAcentral lists this long non-coding RNA (927 nucleotides) under Monodelphis domestica (gray short-tailed opossum). RNAcentral describes it as "lncRNA (ENSMODG00000033376.2)". Lineage: Eukaryota; Metazoa; Chordata; Mammalia; Didelphimorphia; Didelphidae. The record is from RNAcentral.